This is a long non-coding RNA of Oncorhynchus tshawytscha (Chinook salmon), 320 nucleotides long. The record is from Ensembl. NCBI's taxonomy places the organism in Eukaryota, Metazoa, Chordata, Actinopteri, Salmoniformes, Salmonidae.
UGGUGACACCCCUUGGCCAGGCCAGCCCAGAGAACCUGGCCCAGCAGAUGGAUGGAGAGAGGGUUACGUAACAGGUGGGAGGGCUGGACAGUAGGGCUAGGACUGGAAGGUUCUGGACAGUAGGGCUAGGACUGGAAGGUUCUGGUCAGUAGGGCUAGGACUGGAAGGUUCUGGUCAGUAGGGCUAGGACUGGAAGGUUCUGGUCAGUAGGGCUAGGACUGGAAGGUUCUGGUCAGUAGGGCUAGGACUGGAAGGUUCUGGUCAGUAGGUAUAGGACUGGAAGAUUCUGGUCAGUAGGGCUAGGACUGGAAGGUUCUGGU